AGAGUUUGAUCCUGGCUCAGAACGAACGUUGGCGGCGUGGAUUAGGCAUGCAAGUCGAGGGCGAAAGAGGGGCAACUCUCGAGUAGACCGGCGUAAGGGGUAGUAAGGCGUGGGUAACCAACCCUCGGGAUGGGGAUAGCUACGGGAAACUGUAGGUAAUACCCAGCGACGUUGUUGAGGGGCAUCUCUUGACAACCAAAGGUGUAAUUCCGCCCGAGGACGGGCUCACGUGGUAUUAGCUAGUUGGUAGGGUAAUGGCCUACCAAGGCUACGAUGCCUAGGGGGUGUUAGCGCACGAUCCCCACCACUGGGACUGAGACACUGCCCAGACACCUACGGGUGGCUGCAGUCGAGAAUCUUCGGCAAUGGGCGCAAGCCUGACCGAGCGACGCCGCGUGGAGGAUGAAGGCCUUCGGGUUGUAAACUCCUGUCAGAGGGGCGGAAAGCCAGGGGAGCUCUCUCCCUUGGUUGACUUAUCCUCAGAGGAAGCACGGGCUAAGUUCGUGCCAGCAGCCGCGGUAAGACGAACCGUGCAAACGUUGUUCGGAAUCACUGGGCUUAAAGGGCGCGUAGGCGGUGUGUUAAGUCGGCGGUGAAAUACUUCGGCUCAACCGUAGAAUGGCCGCUGAAACUGGCACGCUAGAGGGAGGUAGAGGUGCGUGGAACUUCCGGUGGAGUGGUGAAAUACGUUGAUAUCGGAAGGAACGCCUGUGGCGAAAGCGACGCACUGGACCUCUACUGACGCUGAGGCGCGAAAGCUAGGGUAGCGAACGGGAUUAGAUACCCCCGUAGUCC
RNAcentral lists this ribosomal RNA (795 nucleotides) under uncultured bacterium. Its description in RNAcentral is "bacterial SSU rRNA". It matches the Rfam family "Bacterial small subunit ribosomal RNA", at positions 8 to 796 of the family's 1533-position model. The record is from RNAcentral.